Molecule: ribosomal RNA, 1739 nt
Filed under: Thaida peculiaris
Lineage: Eukaryota; Metazoa; Arthropoda; Arachnida; Araneae; Austrochilidae
Description: SSU rRNA
Rfam family: Eukaryotic small subunit ribosomal RNA
Source: RNAcentral
UGCAUGUCUAAGCACAUGCCGAACCAUAAGGCGAAACCGCGAAUGGCUCAUUAAAUCAGUUGUGGUUCCUUAGAUCGUACCACGCUAUUUGGAUAACUGUGGUAAUUCUAGAGCUAAUACAUGCAGCAGAGCUCCGAUCCCAGUGUGACGAGCGCUUUUAUUAGACCAAGACCGCCCGCGUCCGCCGAAAGGUGGUCGCGGAGAAAGACGGUGACUCUGAAUAACUUUGGGCAGAUCGCCCGGGCUCGACCCGGCGACGUAUCUUUCAAGUGUCUGCCUUAUCAACUGUCGAUGGUAGGUCACGUGCCUACCAUGGUCGUAACGGGUGACGGGGAAUCAGGGUUCGAUUCCGGAGAGGGAGCCUGAGAAACGGCUACCACAUCCAAGGAAGGCAGCAGGCGCGCAAAUUACCCACUCCCGGCCCGGGGAGGUAGUGACGAAAAAUAACGAUACGGGACUCUUUUGAGACCCCGUAAUCGGAAUGAGUAGAGCAUAAAUCCUUCGUGCGAGGAUCGAUUGGAGGGCAAGUCUGGUGCCAGCAGCUGCGGUAAUUCCAGCUCCAAUAGCGUAUAUUAAAGUUGUUGCGGUUAAAAAGCUCGUAGUUGGAUCUCAGGCCGUGCCGGGCGGCCCGCCCCUCGGGCGGUGUUCGCACGCGCCGGUCAUAGAAGCCGGUUACCCCUCGUGAUCUUGAUCGGUCGCGUGGGGCGACCGGCACGUUUACUUUGAAAAAAUUAGAGUGCUCAGAGCAGGCGAGACGCCUGGAUAAUGGUGCAUGGAAUAAUGGAAUAGGACCUCGGUUCUAUUGAGUUGGUUUUCUGAACCGGAGGUGAUGAUGAAGAGGAACAGUCGGGGGCAUUCGUAUUGCGACGCUAGAGGUGAAAUUCUUGGACCGUCGCAAGACGAACGACUGCGAAAGCAUUUGCCAAGAAUGUUUCCAUUAAUCAAGAACGAAAGUCAGAGGUUCGAAGGCGAUCAGAUACCGCCCUAGUUCUGACCGUAAACGAUGCCGACCAGCGAUCCGCCCGAGUUCCUCAAAUGACCGGGCGGGCAGCUUCCGGGAAACCAAAGUUUUUGGGUUCCGGGGGAAGUAUGGUUGCAAAGCUGAAACUUAAAGGAAUUGACGGAAGGGCACCACCAGGAAUGGAGCCUGCGGCUCAAUUUGACUCAACACGGGAAAACUCACCCGGCCCGGACACCGAAAGGAUUGACAGAAUAAGAGAUCUUUCUUGAUUCGGUGGGUGGUGGUGCAUGGCCGUUCCUAGUUGGUGGAGCGAUUUGUCUGGUUAAUUCCGAUAACGAACGAGACCCCAGCCUAUUAAAUAGGCGUUCGGACCGUCGAGUCCGACGUUCUUCUUAGAGGGACAAGCGGCACCCUAGCCGUGCGAAACGGGGCGAUAACAGGUCAGUGAUGCCCUUAGAUGUCCGGGGCCGCACGCGCGCUACAAUGAAGGAGUCAGCGUGCGGUCUCCCGGUCCGGAAGGACCGGGUAAUCAUCGGAAACUCCUUCGUGCUGGGGACAGGGGCUUGUAAUUGUUCCCCUCGAACGAGGAAUUCCAAGUAAUCGCGAGUCAUUAUCUCGCAGUGAUUACGUCCCUGCCCUUUGUACACACCGCCCGUCGCUACUUCCGAUCGAACGAAUUAGUGAGGUCCUUGGACCGGCGCUCCCGGCCUUCCAAUGAAAGUCGGUCCGGCGAGCUCGCCGGAAAGCCGACCGAACUUGGUCGUUUAGAGGAAGUAAA